UACGUAGGGGGCAAGCGUUGUCCGGAAUCAUUGGGCGUAAAGAGCGUGUAGGCGGCCCGAUAAGUCCGCUGUGAAAGUCCAGGGCUCAACCCUGGGAUGCCGGUGGAUACUGUCGGGCUCGAGUCCGGAAGAGGCGAGUGGAAUUCCUGGUGGUAGCGGUGAAAUGCGCAGAUAUCAGGAGGAACACCAUGGCGAAGGCAGCUCGCUGGACGGUACUGACGCUGAGGCGACGAAGACGUGGGGAGCAAACAGG
RNAcentral lists this ribosomal RNA (253 nucleotides) under uncultured bacterium. Its description in RNAcentral is "partial 16S ribosomal RNA". It matches the Rfam family "Bacterial small subunit ribosomal RNA", at positions 524 to 776 of the family's 1533-position model. The record is from RNAcentral.